Non-coding RNA from Schistosoma curassoni, 40 nucleotides. NCBI's taxonomy places the organism in Eukaryota, Metazoa, Platyhelminthes, Trematoda, Strigeidida, Schistosomatidae. The record is from Rfam.
ACCGACGAGUCCCAAAUAGGACGAAACGCGUGUCCUGGAU